Molecule: long non-coding RNA, 177 nt
Organism: Bufo bufo (common toad)
Lineage: Eukaryota; Metazoa; Chordata; Amphibia; Anura; Bufonidae
Exons: 3
Source: RefSeq, a predicted model, not a curated record
CCAGGACUGUCCAGAGGAGAAGCUCCCAGAGAACCAUCAGGAUGAAAAUAUGAUCGAUAUUAAGGUUGAGGUUAUAGAUGAAGAAGAAGAGGAGACGGAUUUAUGGGGCGAUCAUCAGUAUGCAAUCAGAGAAAGAAAUACUCCAGAGAGAUGUCCCCGUACCAGGACUGUCCAGGA